GACGAACGCUGGCGGCGCGCCUACCACAUGCAAGUCGAGCGAGAACCAGGACUUCGGUCCUGGGGACAGCGGCGAACGGGUGAGUAACACGUGGAUAACCUGCCCUCGGCACCGGAAUAGCCAGGGGAAACUCGGAUUAAUGCCGGACAGCCCCACAUCCCUGCGGGGCACGUGGGGGAGGGUAGCUUCGGCCUCUGGCGGGGGACGGGUCCGCGGUGGCUUAGCUCGUUGGCGGGGUAAUGGCCCACCCAGGCGACGCUCCAUAGCUGGUCUGAGAGGACGAUCAGCCGCACUGGGACUGAGACACGGCCCAGACUCCUACGGGAGGCAGCAGUGGGGAAUCUUGCGCAAUGGGCGAAAGCCUGACGCAGCGACGCCGCGUGCGGGAAGAAGGCCUUCGGGUUGUAAACCGCUUUCAGGGGGGACGAAGCCACUCGGGUGAAUAGCCCAGAGGGUGACGGUACCUCCAGAAGAAGCCCCGGCUAACUACGUGCCAGCAGCCGCGGUAA
RNAcentral lists this ribosomal RNA (509 nucleotides) under uncultured bacterium. RNAcentral's name for it is "partial 16S ribosomal RNA". It matches the Rfam family "Bacterial small subunit ribosomal RNA", at positions 28 to 523 of the family's 1533-position model. The record is from RNAcentral.